UGCCCCACCUGUAACCUUAACUACAAAUGGCUCUGUACUGCCUUUUUCAGAUAACGGCAACAAUGAUUUUGUUUCAAAAGGUUACUGUGACCAUCUUGCUAUGUCCACCUUGUUGCGAUGGCCUUGCAACCAUGUCUACGUUUCAGGUGUUGGUUAUGAUCAACCUGUUAAGCGUAUGCUCAGCUUCUGUAGCCCCAGAUAAUCCCUGGAGAUAAAGGGUCAACAAGUCAUGACUCAUGCAUCUGACAUCCCUAAAUCUUCCUGGCUGGAGUCUUUGCUUAGCUUGCCUUCCACACUCUCUCACUGCUGUGGCUGAGCUGAAAAGUUGGAAUGGAGACCUCUGGCCUAAAACACUUCCAGUCUGUCUCUACAGAAAGGAGUUUCCCCAUCAGUGAUGUAAAAGACAGCACUCUUAGGUUUCCCAAGAAAGCUGCUCUUGUGGAUGUUUUCAAAGAACAGAUCCUGGUGCCAUCUGAGAUAGUUCGGUGGGUAAAAAGCACUGGCCACCAUGGUGGGGAAUCUGAAUUCCAUCCCUGUGAUCCACAUUGUAGAAGAAGAGAACCAGUUCCUGUUAGCUGCCCUCUGAGUCCCACAUGUGCACAUGCAUGCACACAUAACGCACGUGUGCAUGGACACACAAUAAGUAAACAAAUAUAUACUAGCUCUAGGUAUGCAUACAUGGAAGGGAAUUUCUCCCAGUCCUUUACCCCUUUCUUAUUAUUUGAGACAAAGAACUGUGGUUAUCUGCCAACACAGGAAUCCAAGUGGAGACCAUUUCCCAGCAUCCCUUGCAGUUGUAUGUGGUCAUGUCCAGGCAAGGGGCUUUCUGCUUUUAUCAAGUACUGUUUUAGGUCCCAACUAGUCACCGAAUAAACACAACUUCUCUCUGUA
Cricetulus griseus (Chinese hamster) is the source of this 891-nucleotide non-coding RNA. The record is from RefSeq and is a predicted model, not a curated record. NCBI's taxonomy places the organism in Eukaryota, Metazoa, Chordata, Mammalia, Rodentia, Cricetidae.